Cornus florida is the source of this 943-nucleotide long non-coding RNA. RefSeq lists it as uncharacterized. The transcript has 2 exons. The record is from RefSeq and is a predicted model, not a curated record. Lineage: Eukaryota; Viridiplantae; Streptophyta; Magnoliopsida; Cornales; Cornaceae.
CAAAGGCAAUAAAACUAAUUUUUCUUAAAAUAAAUAAUAAAUUUAAGUUUGACAAGAAUAGUUAUUAGAGGUAAGGAAAAGGGUGUCCGGUUCAAACACGAGUUCUAACGCACCGAAAAUCCAACAAUCUGGCAACACAAGCAAUAAUAGAAUUAUGUCCUCAUGUUUUACUCUUUUAAUAUAUCCAUUCAUUCACUUGGUCACUCCUCUACCACACACACACAUACGUAUAUAUAUCCCAAAAAAGUAAUAGAACAAAAGAAACCUUGUACAUAGUGCCCAGUUGUGUUUUAUAUCCACGUAUAUAUAUGACACACAUAAUAUGACACUUUCAUUUACUCAUAAGGUCCUUAGCUCUGGACCAUUGCCUUCAAAGCUCUCAAUCCACCCAACUGUAAUUCAUUCAUAUCAUCCACUCUUCCAAUCAAUCUUUCUCUCUCUCUCUAUCUCUAUCUCUAUCUCUUUCUCUCUCUAGACCCAUACACACAGAUUCCUUCUCUUUCAACCAUACGUACCUUGGCUUAUCCUUUUAGAGAAUUAAUUGCUUGGUUUUGCCAAAGCCAAAAUAUCUUAGCUAUAAUUCUCACGGUUCUCUUCUUCAAUUUUCUUGAGAUUUAGCUAUGGUGAUGAUGGGUUUGGAGAGGUUGGUGGUGACUUUGAAAUCGAAAUUGAGUUCUCUGAAAAUGAAGAAGAAUUAUGACAAGAUUGAGAAGAGUGAGAGUAUGAGAGUAGAGAUAAGGAGCAGGAAGGCUCGGAAGCUGAUUGAGAAGACUUUGAAAACCGCCGACUCGCCAAAGAGCAAACACUACUAUACUAUAUGAAUGUUCAUCUGAAUCAAUAUAUAUAUAUAUAUAUAACUAGUGUUCUUCCCCAUAAUGUUCAUGUUCAAUCCACCAUAUAUGGUUUCCACUAGUUGAUAAAAGGUUCAUUGUUUUUUUUGUUU